This 476-nucleotide long non-coding RNA is filed under the name Heterocephalus glaber (naked mole-rat). RNAcentral's name for it is "lncRNA (ENSHGLG00000047686.1)". The record is from RNAcentral. Lineage: Eukaryota; Metazoa; Chordata; Mammalia; Rodentia; Bathyergidae.
CACAAACAUGUCCCUUAUAAAGUACAGCAUCCAUUCCUGUGCAUGAUAAGGAAUCUUCAAGAGCACCUCAAAUUAGCAUCCAAGGUUGGCUGGCUCCUGGAAGGUGGAAAUUGAAUGUUUCAAAGCAGCAGGUGACUUCUGAGGCUGAAGGCCACGCCUGAAUUCCAUCUACCUGGACUGGCAGGUGACGAAGGACAAGAGGACAGGGUGGAGCACUGAGCAUGUCUGGGCGCAGUUAGGAGCGGCUGACACCAUAACACCCACCUAGAAGCAGCUUCGGCCUGCUGCCCGCCUGGAGCAGGGUGCUCCCCAUAGACUGGCCAUGGAGACACCUUUGGGUGUCAUCCGUGAGACCUCGAAAAUAGAUUCCUCUCUGAGCUCUAGUCCUGUCCAACAUUGACUUCUACCCAACGUGGCAGAGCAGAAGCCACGUGGGAGACAUAAACGGAGCCCACACCCUUAGCCAAAGGCUGGCU